ACAAUCAACAUCUUUACAUGCAACUAGCAUCAAAAGGACUUUUCCAAGGCUUGUAAUGAGGUUGAGCUAACAAGAAAAAUUGGUUUUUCUGGAAAACAAAAUCCUUGAGUUAAGAGAGCUAUCAUAAUAUUUAACAAUUAAGCACAACUCUCUUUCUCACCAAUCUCACUUAUUCCCAACUUCCCUUUUCUUUUACAUUGAGCUCACUUUCAUGCUUUUCUUCUUUUCUUUCUUUUUAUCAUGCAUUUUUCUUUCUCAACAUUUAAGCUGAAUGCUUCUUAAUAACUUUUCAAUUUCCCCCAUACAACCCCAAACUUGAACCUUUUCAUCGCAUACAAUUAAACUCAUCCCAACUCAAGGUNAAGAAUUUCAAGACAAGGGUUCACAUCCUGUUUAAGUCUAAGGUUCAAAAAGGGUAUAAUAUUUUCAAGCUCUUUGGGUGAAAAUUUGGCUAGAGAAGGGUUUUGAAAAAUGGCCUUGAUCAUAUGGCAUUCACAUGCAAUUUAAUCAAUCAUCGAGAUUAAAGAAAUAUCAUUCAUGCUUUCCUGUGAACAAUUCAUAUAAUCAUAAAAACUCUGGAGCUCAAAACCUCACACAACAUGCUUUCUCACACAACAUUCAUUCAUACAUCCUGCUUAGCAUCAUAACCACAAUCAUAAUUCAUCACACAUCUGUUUCACUGGCUAUCAACAUGCAACACUACUAAAUUAUUAAUCACCUCAAAUUAUCAUCAAAUAAGUUCAUCAUGCAAAUUAGUCAGUCAAACAUCUUCAAAAAAGUAUUUAGGCCAAGCACACACACUGAAAGAAUACUAGGUUGCCUCCUAGUAGCGCUUGUUUAAUGUCACGAGCCUGACCCAAACUUGUUUAGCACUUGUCAGUAAGUGCAAAACCUUCCAACACCCAUUAGUAGGUGUGCCUUCCUGGAAUCCUUUAGUGGAUUCACAAAUCUUCUAGCAUGCCUCAAUAGAUGCUAAUCAUUACUGCCAUCAGAAGCAGCGCAUAACCAAAAAUAAUAUAUAAAUAAAUAAAUAAAAUAAAAUAAAAUCAAAUAAAAUAAAAUAAAAUAAAAUCAAAUCAAAUAAAAUCAAAUCAAAACGAAAUAAAAGAUAAAAAAAAUUCAGAAACUGGGUUGCCUCCCAGCAAGUGCUCUUUUAACGUCAUUAGCUUGACCCGGUAGAGUUCAAAUGCCUAUCAAUAGGUGUUGAUACUCCCUUUUACUUGUUAUUCUUUUCUUUUUCUUCUUUCUACUGAAUUUCUUCAGAAAAUUAAGAACACCAAGCACUUGUUUUCAUGUUUCAAUCAUAGGAACUUUAGUCUCCAAUUUCUUGAAGAUGGCCAACUUGAACUUAUUUCCCUUCCUAUGAUUUUUCUUUUUAUGAGGAAGAUGUUUUUCAUGUGAUCUUUUCUUCUUUCCUCUCUUCCUCUUUUUCUCAACCUUCUCCUUCUUCCACUUUCUUUUUUUCUUUUUUCUUAUUUUCUUAUUUUUUUUCUUUUUUCUCAACCACUGCUUUUUCUUUCUUCUCAUCUUUCUCUCCCUCACUCAACCUUUCUACUUCAUCUUCCUCUAUUUUCUCCUCUUCUAUCUUUUCCCAUUCUCUCUCUACCUUCUCCUCAUCAACAACCUCAUCAAUUUGUGUCUCCAAAUUCCUGAAGGUAACUUCAUAUCUCUUGGAAGUACACCUCUCUAGAAAUUUGUCGAACCUUUCAUUACAACUUUUAACUUGUUCCGUCACAUCAGCUACCUGUUGGCAAAGUUGUUGAUCAUACUCCCAUGUUUCUAUUGGUGAAGAGUAUUGUUGCUGCCACUGAUAUUAUUGCUUUUCUUCCAUGCUUCAGUGAGAAGAAAAUCUUGUAUCCAUGUCUUGUGGCAAGAAUUCAUCAUUCUUUACAGUCUCCUCUAUGCCUUUGACAUGGUACAUUACUAAAUUCAUAAUUCUCUGAAAAAUUUCAUCAGAUUCUACACUUCUUUGUAUAGGCAUGAAAUGAGGCUCAACAGCUUGUCCAUAUCGACUUUGAUCCAUGUAUGAGUGAGGUUCCCACCAGUGAUUUAAAUUAUUUUGGUAGGAUUGAGUGCCCGUAUAAUCAAAUCCUUGUCCGUACUACAUGCUGUAAACAUUAAGCACAAAACCCUAGAAAACAUUUAUUAGAACAAAAAUGAAAAUAAACAUAAAAUCAAGCCAAAUUCAAUUAAUUCACACUACUUGAAAAAGUAAACCUCGAGUCCCCGGCAACGGCGCCAAAAACUUGUUAACAGAUUGGCAAGCGUACCAAAUCGUAUCAAGUAAUAAAUAAAUGGUAAGUCCAAGUAUCAUUUUCCCAAGAGACUCGAAAGGCCUUAUCGUUCGUGUGAAUUAAGAUCGUAAGACUUGAAAAUAAAAAUUAAUUAAUUGGGUAUGAGAACAAAAUAUAAACAUGCAAAAGAGAUUGAUUCAAUUAACGAGAAGAAAACGAUGGAUGAAUGGAGUUGUUGGGGGUUGACAAUUUCAUCUAAUUUGCUCCCUCUUAUCUACUCCUCUUGUUUAAUGUGCUUGAUUAUCUAAUUGUUAUGCAAACUUUCUUGGCCUACCCUUAACCCGAUCCCUCGGUGAAAAGAGCCUAUUACUAAUUACUGGUUUGCUAUCCCUAGCCUCCCCUAGCAAUUAAUAAAGCAUUAUAGAGCAGAAGUGAAAAACAAUUGAUCGUCCUACCCCUAUCCCUAGGUGGUAUUGAUUAAUCAAGAAAUUACUCACCAGGUCAUGACAUUACUGUACGUCCCCGUAUCAAUAAAGACAAACAACAAUUAUCGAAUGAGUUAAACGAUAAAAGCAUUAAGCACAGAUGAGAACCCAACAAUUAAUAAUCAAAGCAUAUGGAAACCAUAUAAAUAAACAA
This 2873-nucleotide long non-coding RNA is filed under the name Vigna radiata. Its description in RNAcentral is "long non-coding RNA (VRAD_LNC006079)". Lineage: Eukaryota; Viridiplantae; Streptophyta; Magnoliopsida; Fabales; Fabaceae. The record is from RNAcentral.